GUCCACGCUGUAAACGAUGAAUACUAGGUGUGCGGGGACUGACCCCCUGCGUGCCGCAGCUAACGCAAUAAGUAUUCCACCUGGGGAGUACGAUCGCAAGGUUGAAACUCAAAGGAAUUGACGGGGGCCCGCACAAGCGGUGGAUUAUGUGGUUUAAUUCGAAGCAACGCGAAGAACCUUACCAGGGCUUGACAUCCUACUAACGAGAUAGAGAUAUGUUAGGUGCCCUUCGGGGAAAGUAGAGACAGGUGGUGCAUGGUUGUCGU
This 266-nucleotide ribosomal RNA is filed under the name uncultured bacterium. Its description in RNAcentral is "partial 16S ribosomal RNA". It matches the Rfam family "Bacterial small subunit ribosomal RNA", at positions 793 to 1055 of the family's 1533-position model. The record is from RNAcentral.